Molecule: ribosomal RNA, 460 nt
Filed under: uncultured bacterium
Lineage: Bacteria
Description: partial 16S ribosomal RNA
Rfam family: Bacterial small subunit ribosomal RNA
Source: RNAcentral
UCUACGGGAGGCAGCAGUGAGGAAUAUUGGUCAAUGGACGCAAGUCUGAACCAGCCAUGCCGCGUGCAGGAAGACGGCUCUAUGAGUUGUAAACUGCUUUUGUACGAGGGUAAACGCGGAUACGCGUAUCUGUCUGAAAGUAUCUUACGAAUAAGGAUCGGCUAACUCCGUGCCAGCAGCCGCGGUAAUACGGAGGAUUCAAGCGUUAUCCGGAUUUAUUGGGUUUAAAGGGUGCUUAGGCGGUCGGAUAAGUUAGAGGCGAAAUCCCGAGGCUCAACUUCGGAAUUGCCUCUGAUACUGUCCGGCUAGAGAGUAGUUGCGGUAGGCGGAAUGUAUGGUGUAGCGGUGAAAUGCUUAGAGAUCAUACAGAACACCGAUUGCGAAGGCAGCUUACCAAGCUACGUCUGACGUUGAGGCACGAAAGCGUGGGGAGCAAACAGGAUUAUAUACCCGAGUAGUC